Canis lupus familiaris (dog) is the source of this 83-nucleotide non-coding RNA. Lineage: Eukaryota; Metazoa; Chordata; Mammalia; Carnivora; Canidae. The record is from Rfam.
GCCUGAGUGGCUCAGUGGUUGAGCAUUUGUCUUUGGCUCAGAUCGUGAUUCCGGGGUCCUGGGAUCGAGUCCCACAUCAGGCU